AUGAAUUCGGUAAUCGGAGUGCUGUAUAUGAUAUCGAUCUCUACCGCGGCCGUCUACCACAUUGGCACCAUGAAGAUGUAUAUGACAGGGGUCCUCGGCUUCGUCUCCUUUGAUUUCUACCCGAUCUUCAGUGACCUGACCAAGUUCCUCGAGAAAGAAGAGUCCACAGGAGAGACGGAGGCGCAGAAAUCGGACGGUACGUUGGAGUGCGAUGCUCAGGGAGCCGGGACACUGCAUAUAAUAUAACAAGAAUAAAAGCUUUUAAAUAGAACUCCCCUGAAGACACACUGAGAAGAUCUGCUACUGUUUUUAACACAAAUAAAGCUGUUAAUAAAUAAAUAAAUGCCGCCA
Long non-coding RNA from Spea bombifrons (plains spadefoot toad), 351 nucleotides. RefSeq lists it as uncharacterized. NCBI's taxonomy places the organism in Eukaryota, Metazoa, Chordata, Amphibia, Anura, Pelobatidae. The record is from RefSeq and is a predicted model, not a curated record. The transcript is spliced from 2 exons.